UGAUCUUUAGCUGCCAUGACAACAGGAUACAGAGAGAUGCAUUUUCAUAACAAUUGCUAGCAGUGUUGAGAAUCACUGUUACUUGGUGUCAGGGAACAGCUGGCUCUGGGAAGAACACAGCAUUGUUUCUCUUAACUUGUCUGUGUAUGACUCCGCACUUGUGUUAGCAUUCUGACGCUGUAACAAAAUACCUAAGCUAAUGAACUUAAAACAGAGGACAGCUUGAGUUUGGCUCUACGUUUGGAGUUCCAGUCAACGGUUGAUCAGCCCCAUUGCGUUUGGGACUGUGAUGUUGAAUGUUUAGGUGACCAGCGUUCAGGGAACAGUGUUGAAUUAUUUCUACUCGGUGGUGGUAAAACCUCAUUCAAAGGCUGCCUCACAACAGGUGAUUGUGAUUUGCCUCGGGCACUAGCAGGCGUGUGAUCUUUGCCAGCUACAGAGAGUUUAAUUCUGGGGACUCUGGAGAAGGGAUACAUGGAAGAGCCCGCCCCCAGGACCUGUGGCUGGUGGCUACUCCUCUGCUGUUGCUGCUGCUGCCACUGCCCAGCUGCUGCCCCUGCAACUGCCACCUGCUGCUGCUGCUGCUGCAUGUGCUGCCAGUGCUACUGGUCUCUGCUGGUUCCUGCUGCUGCAGUUGCUGUUGCAUUUGCUAUGCUUGGAUUGCUUGUUUGUUGAACUGCUGGCUCUCCUGACGAUGAAGAUUAGACUUGCCCCAAGGAACCCCAUGCCUCUAUUCAGCAUUUGAGCUAAAGGCUCCAUCUGCAAAUCACCUGGAUAUAAAUGCUUGAGACCAUUCGGCCUUAUGGAUGUGGAGCGCCCAGUCCACCAUGUGCCUAGGCACGAGUUGUAUCCUCCUCACGGAGCCCAGGGCUGCCAGGCUUACAUCCUUACCUUCCAGCUCCGAAGAGGAAGAGCGUUCCUUCUCCCAUCGAUUCCAAAAGCUCCGUUGUCAGAUGGAAUCAUGCCCUGAACCAUUCCUGAAGGGAUGAAGUGGGAUUCAUGUGUAGAAGAGAAAGACCUGCAGUCGCUUUUGAGUGAUUCCAGACAGGAGGGCAGAAGAAAAAAAGACCAGGCAGAAAUCGAGUAAGCUAAUUUUUUGUCCUGGCUUCACCAUGACUUUGGGAUUUGGGACAAAUGACAUCUUUGCAUCCUUUCUGUUUCCCCCUCUUAGGUUAGGAAAUGGCCUGCAUCUUCCACAGCUCAAGGUUAGAUGGCAGAAAGGAAGCAUCACAAACCAGCCAGAGGAAUGGAGAUGAGGAGGGAACUGUGGGUAGUGUGGCUGGACUUUGGACAGGAAUUUUGUCUGGGAAGCAGUCUAAGGAUUGCUAAAGACCAAAGCUGACUUCCAAACACAGUUCUAAUGGAAGGAGAUUGGCCAGCUCAUUGUCUUCAAAAGUCAUUUAGAGGCCCUCUCCUGCAGAUAGGGAGACUCCUAGCUCUUCUCUAGUAGGAUGGCAUGUCACUAUGUUUGUGUUAAGAACUGCCUUUCAUGAAACACAUGGCAGACAUGUGGAAGGAGAGAAAUUAUCCUCUAUGUAAACAUUGUCCAGUAAAUUAAUCAAACUUCUACUGAGCAUUUGCUAAAUGUCAGGUGCUUAGUUAUACGCCUCAAAGAUGGAGAGCAGAUGGCUUCCUCCCUCAGGGAGGUUUAAUCUGGAGAUUUGAAUGGAGAAUCAUUUAAAACUAACCAGGAAAACAGAAACACCUCUGUUUAAAAUGAAGGAAUUUUAAUGCAAAAGAAAUGGCUACACGGGUGAUAGUGAUGUCGAGAAGCUAAGAGGUAAGGAAGAGGAGAGGAAGAGAAGAGGAUGAAGAGAUGAGGAUGAAGUGACCCAGGAGACGGCAUGGUCCAAUUGCUAUGGUGACUUUUUAGAGGCACAGAAAAAGAAGUCCCAAAGUAAAUGGUGGUAAUGUUGGAGCUUAUGUGGAAAUGGUGGGAAGAGGAUGGAAGGACUCAGAGUGAGGCCAGAAUCAGCACCAGGUGACUUUGUGCCAAGAUGUGGGAGGAGGUCUUCAUUAGUAAGGAAUCACAUUUGAUGGUGAAAGGGAUGGCGGCAUCACUGUAAAUGUGGUCAGUGGUGGCUUCUCGCCAGGCCAGGGCCAAGUUCAGGUGGCAUCAUGACAGAAUAGGUUUACCUCAGAGAAUCAUUGAGGUGACUAUGAAAACUACAGUUCCCAGGGAGAAGACAACCAGCCGACUGUCUUAGUCAAGAGACAUUAAAGGAGAUAGAGUGAUGGCAAGCGACUACCACAGAAAGGGACCAUUCCUUACCUGUUUCUUUUGCCAGAGGUGAGCAAAUUUUCAAAUAGGAGGUGAGAACUGGCUUUAUGCAGUUCUAAUGAAGGAAUGUCUUUGCAGCAUCAAAACAAACACACACAUGAAGCCUAGUGAUUCCUCUAGGCUUCAUGUGCAAGUCACCUCAAGGAGACUCAGCCAGCUACAGGAGUAGAUCUGUGCUGAGUGGUAAGAGGGUGCCCCAGGACUCCAGUGACUGGUGGGCAAUGGAUCUUAGCUGACAGUGGCAUUAUGGCCCUCUGUUAAUGGAAAGGAGCCAGGUAAGAAGUCCUGGCUACACUACUACAGUACAACUCAUAGUGGCUUCAUGAUGUGUGUGGGCCCAUCUGGUAGUUAUAUUUGAUGCUUUCUCUCUCUUCCUUCCUUCCUUCCUUCCUUCCUUCCUUCCUUCCUUCCUUCCUUCCUUCCUUCCUUCCUUCCUUCCUUCCUUCCUUCCUUCCUUCCUUUCUCUCUCUCUCUCUCUCUCUCUCUCUUCCUUCCUUCCUUCCUUCCUUCCUUCCUUCCUUCUUCCUCCCUCCCUCCCUCCCUCCCUCCCUCCCUCCCUCCCUCCCUCCCUCCCUCCCCUCUCUCGAUCUCUCUUUCUCUCUCUCUGUCCCUCCCUUCCUCCUGUUUUUUUUUUCUUCCCUCCCUUUUCUGGUUUCUUGCUUGUUUGUUUUUUUUGGCAGGAUCUCACUAUGUAGCUCGGCCCAUCCUGGCUCUCACCUGAUCACUAUGAAGAUCAAGCUGGCUAAGAAUGGCUUUACCAUGGCUGGCACGUCUGAAGUUCUUAAGUGUGUAAUGGGAUGGACAGUCUUCAUGGCUAGCUUGGAGUGUUACUUGUCUUGUGGGUCAGAAUUGCCACAGUGGGGAAAUGUAAGUGAAAAGCAGACCCUCUCCUGCCACCGCCCCUGCAUCUUCAGCACGGUAAAGAGUCAGCUAAGGAAAUGGAAGAAAAUGCCAGUUGGCAGAAGCUAAGUGUGCUGAGCUGGCGGCCCCAGUUACAUUGUCAUUCAUUUUUGAUGAAUGGAGAACUCAGGCCUCUGUGAACCCAGAUGGAUUCUGGUAGAUGACAAUGGAGUUCUCUAACCUUAGCUACGAAGCAGCUACUACACCAGAUGUGGCAUCUUCACUCGAACAGAUAAAUAACUAAGGACAUUAAUCUGCUUCCAGAAAAAAAAAAGACUUUCCUCCAGCACAGUCAAGCAUCAAACACUAAUAAAACACAGGGAGGGUCUACGAGGAUGAAUAAGAAACCUUGCAAAGCAAUCAGAAAGCAGUAAGUUCUGUUCUAGAAAGUUCCAUUCUAAAAGGUCAAUGUCUUCUUCUGUGCAGAGACCAAACCAUAGUCCUGGAUGAAUACUCGCAGUGGCACACUCUAUACCAUGUGACCCAGUGCCUUUGGCCAGCUCAGUUGCACCAGAGGGUCUGAUCCACGGUAACUGACCUCACGGGGGGCCAAGGGAUAGGUGAUCUGGUGUGGAAACACGACAACGCGUCAGAUCUCAUUCUCCACUCGGGAGCCUGGAUUGGGGAGACGGAAGCUGAGCUGGCUAGCUGUCAUGCACAGGGGAGUCAGUGUGAGAAUGUCACUGAAGACGCAUUGAAACAGGGAGAAGAGGGGAUUGUGGGAAGAGAGGGAGGGGACUCUUGAUGCUUCCUGGUCAUCCUGGACAGAUUUCUGGGGACCCUAUGUGCUUUUGUUCUUACUUUUAGGCUCCGUGAAAGCCCUCUGAGGAUAUCCCCUGGUUGAGUUAGAGUGAGUGGAUAGGGAGAGCUUGCCUAGCAUUGGAGCCUGCGGGGUACCACUUCUUGUCUGACUUUACCACUAACUCUCUAGUACGAUUAGAUAUUUUCUAUGUAUUGCUUUCAUCUUUCUUCUUAGGCUAUGAGGCAGUGUUCUGUGUAGUUGAGGAAAGGUUAACCUUGGUAGUAAUAAUGUUAUGAAUAAUAAUAGUUCAUAUUAACUCAACUUUUACUGCGUGCCAGGCACAGUGUUGGGCACUUUACCCUCGCUAUGUUCAGCAGGAAGGGACUCCCCUGGGAAUUGCUGCUGUAGCCAUUGUUGUCAAUGUGACCUGACUUCCUCUGCUCUGACUGUACAGCCACAGGAAGUGACCUGCCACACACAGCUGGUGGAAGGACAGAGGUAUCCACUCUUGGGGUAGUUAUCUUUUUCUUCUCAGCAAAAGUGGUUCAUACACACUAGUGAAAAUUUGAAAACAUCUAGAAGCAGAACUACAAAAACAGUCCAAUAUUCUGUCCACUACAGAUACGUUGUCAAUAUUGUGCUGUCUGUUCCCCCCCCCUUUGCUUUGAAAGCUUUACAACGUCAAAUCUGAACCCUUUUCAUGCCAUUAAAUGUGCUUCUCCUAUGUAAU
This 4653-nucleotide long non-coding RNA is filed under the name Mus musculus (house mouse). Its description in RNAcentral is "predicted gene, 35963". Lineage: Eukaryota; Metazoa; Chordata; Mammalia; Rodentia; Muridae. The record is from RNAcentral.